Long non-coding RNA from Zonotrichia albicollis (white-throated sparrow), 1558 nucleotides. Lineage: Eukaryota; Metazoa; Chordata; Aves; Passeriformes; Passerellidae. The record is from Ensembl.
GUUGGUUGAAAUUGCUUAAAUGCUUGAAAAAUUCUGUACAUAAAAUCUGCAGGUAUACUUUUACUGGUUGAUUCUGAUCAGCUUAGCCAACUGAAUCCAUGAGUGCAAAGGCUGCAAUGGACAGUGAAUGCACUGAUAACCAGUUUGGUGCUACAGGAAAGCAUUGCCUUUCAUUGAUGGAGAUUUUGAUGGACUUAGGAGUCAGUCCAACUGCCUUGGCUAAGGGGUCAGGAAAGAUUUCUUCACUCCCAGGUAAAAACAGCAUGAUGGAUUUGCUCAGCUUCCUCAAAGUCAAGACAAAAAGGAUAUACACUUCUUGGAGAGGAUUCAGGAAUUUCUAUUAGUCAUCUGUAAGAAUAUUGUGCACAGUGUGGAUAAAGAUCAAAUAACCAAUUUUACUAAGUAAGGAAAUCCUGGAAUUUCAUCAGUAGACCUUGAAAGAAGAAUGGAGAUGAAUCAGUCUUCACAAACUAAUAUCUUCAUUUGAGUUCCUUUCACCCAGUGCACAGCUGUGUAAGGAUAAAGACUAAUGAGAAUAGCUUUUGGAGCAGCUUGAAGAAAACACUAUCUCUGUAAUGUAUUAUACGAUGUAAGUCUUGUAACUUGACCAUUUUAAGAACUGCAAAAUUAAGUCAAUACACUGAAUCCUGCUUCUUAAAUUGCUCCUGGUAUUUCAAUUACCUCUAUAUUCAAUUACUUAUUGAAUUUUAUUUUGAUCAAUCAGCUUUGGCUUGGGACUGUCUGUCCAAGCAUUUUUAGUCUAUACUGGUCGGAUGCAUGUUUGUUUUUAUGAAGGUUCCACAGUUUCAAAAGAAUUCAAUGUAAUUAUUGUAGAGUUUCAGAGAAACUGCAUGAAAAAUUUUCAGACUUGGAUUCUGAAAUCUUUUGAAUAAGCAAGGUGAAAUGGAAAUGAAGAACAGUAGCUCAGACACUAGAGGAAACUCUUACACAGUAAAAAGGCAGGAAUAUAAGGUAGUACCAUAGAGAUGUAAAUAUGCAUUAAUGUGUUUAUUGCAAAAAUACAACUGUAGUUUUUGGCUUAUUUGUACACAGCAAUUGAGUUUUGUCUUUUUAUCCAGUUGCAAUUCAUUGCAGUGAAAGUAUAUCUAUGCUAAAUACAAGACUGGAACAGUUCAAAAGUAAUUUUGCAAAACAGUUAAUGUUUAGGGGGAAGAAUAGGGAACAUCUAUUCUGAUCACUCUUUUUAUUAAAACCUGAAAUUUGUCUUUGAGACUGGCAAAACAACUUCGCCAUUUCCUGAAACAUUUCAGUUAGAGAAAUUUUUUCCACAGAAUGCAAUUGUUUCCCUUAGAAAUUCUCCAUGCUGUGACUGUGUGACUUAAUUAAAGUGUUUUGCUCCCUAUGCAUAAAACAAAUAUUGCUGACUGAAGCAACUAUCCUUAUGCUGGCCUCCUGGACUAGAUUUACAGCAAUGUUUAGCAUCUCCCUUGCAGAAAGAGACAUCUAUUUUUUUAUAAGUGGGUUUAGGCAUUAGGUAUUUCAAAAAAUGCUUUCAGCAAACAAUAAAGAUUUGUCCCUUUAUCCCUGUUGUGUUUUG